GUGGGGAAUGGCUGGUAGCAGUUUUAUUAUUAUUUAUGAAUUCAUCAGAAAGGAAUAUUGACCUCUAAUUAAAGCCAGAAAAUUACUCCUGGAAUAAAUUGCUAAAGGUUCCUGUUCACUCUAACCAUGAUUGCAUUAACCUCUUGGAGCAGAAUGAAAUAGUUGGCGGGAGAGAGAGAAGGGAGAGAAAAACAGAUUCAAUUUGGGAGCAACCCUGAUGAUCAAAGAAGAGAUGAGGAAAUUCUCGCGCCUGUAAUUGCGGGCUGGGAGCGCUGCGCCCGCAGUGUGAAGCACAGACCUGUUGUACAAGCCAUGAUGGAUGUGUACCACGUGCUGGCGAAGGACCGUCUCCGUUCACAGGCACGGUUUGCUGCAUAUUUAUUAUGUAUUAUUGUAGUCUUCAUUGUAACCUAGCCCAGAGUGAGGACGGCACUGUGAUUUCCCAUUGUAAUUUCUUAUUUUCAUUCACUCACAGCCCUGAGAAAUGAGGUGAAUUCUUUCAUGAGGGCACUCACAGCCCCUUUAGUUGUACUCUGGCUAUUCACCUGGCUCUAUCUGAUCCGAUGAAUGUAACGAUAAAAGCCCUAAUAUA
Molecule: long non-coding RNA, 592 nt
Organism: Myotis davidii
Lineage: Eukaryota; Metazoa; Chordata; Mammalia; Chiroptera; Vespertilionidae
Exons: 3
Source: RefSeq, a predicted model, not a curated record